RNAcentral lists this transfer RNA (74 nucleotides) under Phrynosoma platyrhinos (Desert horned lizard). Its description in RNAcentral is "tRNA-OTHER". Lineage: Eukaryota; Metazoa; Chordata; Lepidosauria; Squamata; Phrynosomatidae. The record is from RNAcentral.
GAGCAAGCAUGGUGUAGUGGUUAGAGCACUAGACUACAAUUUUGGAGACCAGGGUUUGAAUCUCCACUUGCCCA